This 497-nucleotide ribosomal RNA is filed under the name uncultured bacterium. RNAcentral's name for it is "partial 16S ribosomal RNA". It matches the Rfam family "Bacterial small subunit ribosomal RNA", at positions 28 to 507 of the family's 1533-position model. The record is from RNAcentral.
GACGAACGCUGGCGGCGUGCCUAAUACAUGCAAGUAGAACGCUGAAGCUUGGUGCUUGCACCGAGCGGAUGAGUUGCGAACGGGUGAGUAACGCGUAGGUAACCUGCCUGGUAGCGGGGGAUAACUAUUGGAAACGAUAGCUAAUACCGCAUAAGAGUAGAUGUUGCAUGACAUUUGCUUAAAAGGUGCAAUUGCAUCACUACCAGAUGGACCUGCGUUGUAUUAGCUAGUUGGUGAGGUAACGGCUAACCAGGGCAACGAUACAUAGCCGACCUGAGAGGGUGGACGGCCACACUGGGACUGAGACACGGCCCAGACUCCUACGGGAGGCAGCAGGAGGGAAUCUUCGGCAAUGGACGGAAGGCUGACCGAGCAACGCCGCGUGAGUGAAGAAGGUUUUCGGAUCGUAAAGCUCUGUUGUAAGAGAAGAACGAGUGUGAGAGUGGAAAGUUCACACUGUGACGGUAUCUAACCAGAAAGGGACGGCUAACUACGUG